CCUACGGGAGGCAGCAGUGGGGAAUAUUGGACAAUGGGGGAAACCCUGAUCCAGCGACGCCGCGUGAGUGAAGAAGUAUUUCGGUACGUAAAGCUCUAUCAGCAGGAAAGAAAAUGACGGUACCUGACUAAGAAGCCCCGGCUAACUACGGCCCAGCAGCCGCGGUAAUACGUAGGGGGCAAGCGUUAUCCGGAUUUACUGGGUGGAAAGGGAGCGUAGACGGCAGCGCAAGUCUGGAGUGAAAUGCCGGGGCCCAACCCCGGAACUGCUCUGGAAACGGUGAAGCUGGAGUGCAGGAGAGGUAAGCGGAAUUCCUGGUGUAGCGGUGAAAUGCGUAGAUAUCAGGAGGAACACCGGCGGCGAAGGCGGCUUACUGGACUGUAACUGACGUUGAGGCUCGAAGGCGUGGGGAGCAAACAGGAUUAGAUACCCUAGUAGUC
Molecule: ribosomal RNA, 440 nt
Filed under: uncultured bacterium
Lineage: Bacteria
Description: partial 16S ribosomal RNA
Rfam family: Bacterial small subunit ribosomal RNA
Source: RNAcentral